RNAcentral lists this ribosomal RNA (497 nucleotides) under uncultured bacterium. Its description in RNAcentral is "partial 16S ribosomal RNA". It matches the Rfam family "Bacterial small subunit ribosomal RNA", at positions 28 to 507 of the family's 1533-position model. The record is from RNAcentral.
GAUGAACGCUGGCGGCGUGCCUAAUACAUGCAAGUCGAGCGAACGGACGAGAAGCUUGCUUCUCUGAUGUUAGCGGCGGACGGGUGAGUAACACGUGGAUAACCUACCUAUAAGACUGGGAUAACUUCGGGAAACCGGAGCUAAUACCGGAUAAUAUUUUGAACCGCAUGGUUCAAAAGUGAAAGACGGUCUUGCUGUCACUUAUAGAUGGAUCCGCGCUGCAUUAGCUAGUUGGUAAGGUAACGGCUUACCAAGGCAACAAUGCAUAGCCGACCUGAGAGGGUGAUCGGCCACACUGGAACUGAGACACGGUCCAGACUCCCACGGGAGGCAGCAGUAGGGAAUCUUCCGCAAUGGGCGAAAGCCUGACGGAGCAACGCCGCGUGAGUGAUGAAGGUCUUCGGAUCGUAAAACUCUGUUAUUAGGGAAGAACAUAUGUGUAAGUAACUGUGCACAUCUUGACGGUACCUAAUCAGAAAGCCACGGCUAACUACGUG